RNAcentral lists this ribosomal RNA (774 nucleotides) under uncultured bacterium. RNAcentral's name for it is "bacterial SSU rRNA". It matches the Rfam family "Bacterial small subunit ribosomal RNA", at positions 12 to 775 of the family's 1533-position model. The record is from RNAcentral.
UUUGAUCAUGGCUCAGAUUGAACGCUAGCGGCAUGCCUAACACAUGCAAGUCGAGCGGCAGCGAGUCUGUAGUAAUACAGAUGUCGGCGAGCGGCGUACGGGUGAGUAAAAUAUAGGAAUCUGCCUCGAGGUGGGGGAUAACUUGGGGAAACUCAAGCUAAUACCACAUGUGACCUAAGGGUGAAAGCAGGGGAUCGAAAGACCUUGCGCCUUGAGAUGAGCCUAUAACGGAUUAGCUAGUUGGGGGGGUAAUGGCCCACCAAGGCGACGAUCUGUAGCUGGUCUGAGAGGAUGACCAGCCACACUGGGACUGAGACACGGCCCAGACUCCUACGGGAGGCAGCAGUGGGGAAUAUUGGACAAUGGGGGAAACCCUGAUCCAGCAAUGCCGCGUGUGUGAAGAAGGCCUUCGGGUUGUAAAGCACUUUCAGUGGGGAGGAAGGUACAAGCGCUAAUACCGUUUGUAAUUGACGUUACCCACAGAAGAAGCACCGGCUAACUCUGUGCCAGCAGCCGCGGUAAUACAGAGGGUGCAAGCGUUAAUCGGAAUUACUGGGCGUAAAGCGUGUGUAGGUGGUUAGAUAAGUUAGAUGUGAAAUCCCCGGGCUUAACCUGGGCACUGCGUUUAAGACUGUUUAACUAGAGUGCUGUAGAGGGUAGUGGAAUUUCCAGUGUAGCGGUGAAAUGCGUAGAUAUUGGAAGGAACACCAGUGGCGAANGCGACUACCUGGACAGACACUGACACUGAGACACGAAAGCAUGGGGAGCAAACAG